CACAUUCUUCUUCCAGACCCGAAUGGUGUGAACUCGAAGUCCUGCCCCCUUACAUCCAAAUUGGCUUUCUCUUUCAGGAACCUCUCAGGCUGAAAUUCCAAUGGGUUAGCCCAAAUGUUAGGGUCACGAUGCAACUUCCAGAGGUUAACCACAAGGCGCGUGCCUGCUGGGAUGUGGAAGUCAGCUACAGUGCAAUCCUCCAUGGCUUCCCUUGGUCCUGAGAGUGGUGCUGGCGGGUGUAGUCUGAAUGUUUCCUUGACAAUGGCUUGCAAAUAUACAAGGUUCUUUAUGUCUGUCUCCGCCACUUGGCGGUGCUUUCCGACGUGGGUGUCAAGCUCAUCUUGAGCUUUUUUAAGCAUAUUUCUAUUGUUUAGUAGCAAAGCUAGUGGCCAUAUCAGAGCUAUCGUUAUUGUGUCACUGCCUCCCAAUAGAAGGCUCUGCCAUAGAGAUUACUUGAUACUGUGAGAUGAUGGAGUAAAAAAGUGAUUUAUAUACACAUAUACGAAAUUUAUUCCUUUAAUUUAUUAGGAUUUAUAUGACCCUUAGAGAUUACUAUGUCUGCUAUAUAGUACACUUUCUUUUUUUGACAAAUACUAUAAUGCAAAAUGCAAAAAUCGAACAUAAGCACUGGAUGUUUUGCCUAGCUGUAUGCAGUAUUGCAGAAAAUGAAAGACAGAGCAAGGGCCUCGAGUUAGAGACUUUCCUGAAAACUUAAAUCAAAUACAGAUCAUCAUUUACCCAAACUUGUGACAACAUGUGAAAAAAGCAAGUUUUGCCCCAGUUGCUUGAGUAGUAGGUUUCAGCUGCAACAGAAAAGUAUGAAACUUUUAAUUGCAGAAAUUUGCUAGAUACUUACCAAGCAACUAGCCUUAACGGUUGUGUCAGCUUCAUCAACAGAAACGUUACUAUCAUUCAUGAUAGAAAGCAUGACAUCGAUGAAAUCUUUCUCCUCCUCGCUGAUGCUUCUGUUGAGCCUGAUUCUUCGAUGCUCGUCCACCCAGCUCCCAAGCACGCAAUCUAACUCCCUUGCCGUUCUUUUCAUUUUUCCUAUAUAUCCCUUCACCAAAUCCAGCCAACUAAACAAUGGAACAGCAUCUGAAGCAAAAUUUAACCCCACUAGAUACAAGAAAUGUCGUAAAGCCUCUUGACACCUCUUUGCCUCUUGAUUGCCUUUUGCAUCGGCACUAAAAUAUCGCUUCCCAGAAAUCAUUCUAACUAUUAUGUUCAUUGCCAUGUCCGCUAAUCUUUGCUUCAUUUCCACGACAACUUGCCCUCCAUUCCUUGACGAUUUCUCAUAAAACUCUUUCAUGAGCAAACUGGUUUCUGUGUACCUGACAUGCUUGAGCAACUCUAGCCUAUGAUUGGAGAGGAGUUCAACCAUGACCAACUUCCUGAUAUCACGCCAAUAUCGCCCAUACGGUGCAAAGCCGAACGUGGUUUGGUUAUAGCCCAUGAUCUUUAAUGCUAAGGAUUUUGGACGUGUGGAAAAGACCCUAUCAUUUGCAGUGAAACAUUCUUUCACAACUUCCCAAUCGCUCACCACAAUUGUUGGAUGAAUUCCAAGGCGGAUAGAGAAGAUUGACCCGUACUCAUCUGCCAUGCCCCCUAGUGUUUUAUGCAGCAGCUGGUUUCUUCCUCCAAGAAGAUGUAGGUGGCCAAUUACAGGCCAUGACCCUGCUACCUCUGGAGGCAUCUUGCCAUUUUUCUUGUUUCCCUUGGCAAAUAUUGUGGCCAAGACAACAGAAGUUAUUGCAAGAAGAAGGGCAAACAAGGAGAUUCCUCGUAGCUCAGUCAAGGUUUUCAUGGUUUAGUUCGUAAUGAAGAUUGGUGAUUUGUCAACAUUUUUUCCAGAUGAUACUGAAAGAAACUUCUGAAUUUAGACAAAUGAAAUAUUUUUUAUGGCUCACAUCUUAUUUUUGUUCACAUAUUGACAGCUCAUUUAUGCGAAGUGAAUCAGUCUAGCUGAUGGUUACUGAUGGGGGGAUUUUCCAGUCUGGUUUGGCACGUCUAUCUUAUUCAACUAGUCUUCUCUAUAAACAAAAGAAAAGAAGAGAAAAUUACCAUCACCAAGUUUGGCAAAAAACGACAAUAUAUACAGUAAAUGAUCUCUCCAUGCAAAUGAUUUUCUUGAUCAUUAUACUAAUUAUUCACGAAAAAACGACAGGAUACCAAACAAUCAGACUUUUUUCAGCACAAGCUCCGUUUUUUCCAGAAUAAGACAGGCAUGAUCCACCUGUGAGACUUUUGUGUUAAAUUGUGGCCCCUGACAGCACAGUGUUUUUAAAAUAUAUGUAACUUGACUAUAGUAAAUUAAAAACCACGAAAUAAAAACUUGACUAUAAGAUCAGUUCAACAGUUAUUGCAAUACAUUGGCAAUAAAAAACACUUCCUGCCUUUAUUCUACCUUUGUUUUACAUAUUUUUAUAAAGGAUUGCACAAUGAUCUCCUUGUGCUUGCUGCUUAGAAUUCGUAAGCGAUGGAAGGUAACCUUGGCCUGAGGACAACCUCCAAUGGUGUUGCUUUGGGGACUGUCAAUCCAGGGCUUUCAGUCAUAUCGACUGGAGUAUCCGAGACUGUCCUCAAUUCAAACCCGUGAAGAAGCCGAGCAAGUGUCAGGUGCACAACCUGGACAACGAAUGACACCGCAGGGCACAUUCUUCUUCCAGACCCGAAUGGUGUGAACUCGAAGUCCUGCCCCCUUACAUCCAAAUUGGCUUUCUCUUUCAGGAACCUCUCAGGCUGAAAUUCCAAUGGGUUAGCCCAAAUGUUACGGGUCCCGAUGCAACUUCCAGAGGUUAACCACAAGGCGCGUGCCUGCUGGGAUGUGGAAGCCAGCUACAGUGCAAUCCUCCAUGGCUUCCCUUGGUCCUGAGAGUGGUCCUGGCGGGUGUAGCCUGAAUGUUUCCUUGACAAUGGCUUGCAAAUAUACAAGGUUCUUUAUGUCUGUCUCGGCCACUUGGCGGUGCUUUCCGACGUGGGUGUCAAGCUCAUCUUGAGCUUUUUGAAGCAUAUUUCUGUUGUUUAGUAGCAAAGCUAGUGCCCAUAUCAGAGCUAUCGGUGUUGUGUCACUGCCUCCCGCUAGAAGGCUCUGCCAUAGAGAUUACUUGAUACUGUGAGAUGAUGGAGUAAAAAAGUGAUUUAUAUAAACAUAUACGAAAUUUAUUCCUUUAAUUUAUUAGGAUUUAUAUAACCCUUAGAGAUUACUAUGUCUGCUAUAGUACACUUUCUUUUUUUGACAAAUACUAAAUGCAAAAUGCAAAAAUCGAACAUAAACUCUGGAUGUUUUGCCUAGCUGUAUGCCGUAUUGCAGAAAAUGAAAGACAGAGCAAGGGCCUCGAGUUAGAGACUUUCCGGAAAACUUAAAUCAAAUACAGAUCAUCAUUUACCCAAACUCCUUUCAGACAUGUGAAAAAAGCAAGUUUUGCCCAGUUGCUUGAGUAGGUUUCAGCUGCAACAGAAAAGUAUGUAACUUUUAAUUGCAGAAAUUUGCUAGAUACUUACCAAGCAACUAGACUUAACGGUUGUGUCAGCUUCAUCAACAGAAACGUUACUAUCAUCCAUGAUAGAAAGCAUUACAUGGAUGAAAUCUUUCUCCUCCUCGCUGAUGCUUCUGUUGAGCCUGAUUCUUCGAUGCUCCUCCACCCAGCUCCCAAGCACGAAAUCUAACUCCCUAGCCGUUCUUUUCAUUUUUCCUAUAUAUCCCUUCACCAAAUCCAGCCAACUAAACAAUGGAACAGCAUCUGAAGCCAAAUUUAACCCCAAUAGAUAGAAGAAAUUUCCUAAAGCUUCUUGACUCCUCUUUGCCUCUUGGUUGCCUUUUGCAUCGGCACUAAAGUAUCGCUUCCCGGAAAUCAUUCUAACUAUUAUGUUCAUUGCCAUGUCCGAUAAUCUUUGCUUCAUUUCCACGACAACUUGCCCUCCAUUCCUUGACGAUUUCUCAUAAAAAUCUUUCAUGAGCAAACUGGUUUCGGAGUCCCUGACAUGCUUGAGCAACUCAAGCCUAUGAUUGGAGAGGAGUUCAACCAUGACCAACUUCCUGAUAUCACGCCAAUAUCGCCCAUACGGUGCAAAGCCGAACAUGGUUUGGUUAUAGCCCAUGAUCUUUAAUGCUAAGGAUUUCGGACGUGUGGAAAAGACCCUAUCAUUUGCAGUGAAACAUUCUUUCACAACUUCCCAAUCGCUCACCACAAUUGUUGGAUGAAUUCCAAGGUGAAUAGAGAAGAUUGACCCGUACUCAUCUGCCAUGCCCCCUAGUGUUUUAUGCAGCAGCUGGUUUCUUCCUCCGAGAAGAUGUAGGUGGCCAAUAACGGGCCAUGACCCUGCUACCUCUGGAGGCAUCUUGCCAUUUUUCUUGUUUCCUUUGGCACAUAUUGUGGCCAAGACAAUAGAAAUUAUUGCAAGAAGAAGGGCAAACAAGGAGAAUUCUCGUAGCUCAGUCAAGGUUUUCAUGGUUUAGUUCGUAAUGAAGAUUGGUGAUUUGUCAAUAUUUUUUCCAGAUGAUUCUGAAAGAAACUUCCGAAUUUAGACGAAUGAAAUGAUUUUUUAUGGAUCACAUCUUAUUUUUGUUCACAUAUUGACAGCGCAUUUAUGCGAAGUGAAUCAGUCUAGCUGAUGGUUACUGAUGGGGGGAUUUUCUUGUCUGGUUUGGCACGUCUAUCUUAUUCAACUAGUCUUCUCUGUAAACAAUAAAAAACGAAGAGAAAAUUACCAUCACCAAGUUUGGCAAAAAAACGACAAUAUAUACAGUAAAUGAUCUCUCCAUGCAAAUGAUUUUCUUGAUCAUUAUACUAAUUUAUUCACGAAAAAACGACAGGAUACCAAACAAUCAGAAAUUUUUCAGCACAAUCUCAGCUUUUUCCAGAAUAGGAUAGGCAUGAUCCACCAGUGAGACUUUUGAGUUAAAUUGUGGCCACCCGACGGCAAAGUGCCUUUGGGGACCAUCAAUCUCGUGACAUUGAUACCAUGAGUACAGAAUUUCCAUGCGGUGGGUGAUCAUAAAAAAUAUACAGUAAAAGUCACCUACACAAAUCCAGUAUCUUGGUGUUUUUUUUUAAUCUGUUUUUCUAAAUUUUGUAAGUUGUUUUUAUUUUUUUUAAAAUAUCAAAUUAAUAUUUUUUAAAAUACUUUUCGAUGAAUUUAAUGAUUCCCUAGCAAUAGAACAUCUCUCUUUACAUAUAUUUUUUUUAAUGUUUUUUAAGGCUCAAACUCAUUUUCUGUAAUUUCAUAGAAUAGCUUGACAAAUUCCUUAGUUUCCACAAUUGAAGUGUCUCCUCUGCAUUUGCAGCAUCACCUAGUUACUCUUUUUGUGUAGUAAAAAUACAAUUACUUCAUUGGAGCAGGAGAGAUUUAUGUUCUGUUAUCAAAUUUCACUAACAAGAUUUGAUGGAUGCCCAGAACUUGUUUGUCUGAAGGGGAUUUGUGUUGAUCUAUGUGUUCAUUCUUAAAAUUGCUUGAUCAUGUUAUCUUUUUAGGUGGAUUUCUAAAUAGAUCUUGAAAUGGUUGUAUCAUGUUCUUCACGUGGAAAUUAUUUAUUGAGUUGGAACCGUUUACGCAAAAGAUUAGUAAAAUAAUCAUUACCUUGAGAUUUUAUUAAAGAAAAAUGGAUAAAUCAUGGUUGAAAAAGAAAUAUAAGCGGAGGGAAUAUGAUUGAAAGAGAGAAUUUGUAGAGAAUAAAAUUGAAAGAGAUAUAAAUCUUCAAUAGAAAAUGUCUUUUUUAUAUAAAAAUUUAAAUUAAAGGAUACAACAUAUAGUUGUUUAAUAAAAUGGUCAAAAAAUAUUUAAUGGCAAAAAAUUAUUUAACGGGAAAAAAAACAAUGCAUUUUCCAUGUCUUUCUCUGUCCCUUCAACAGAACAUCAUCAAAAUAAAAACUCCACGUUUUUUUCACUUUAAUUAGAUCAUAUUCCCAAUCACCACAUGCCCCCGUCGUCUCGCCCACAGCUCCUCCACUGUCGGAAAGCAAACCUCCAUCAUCAUCAUCAUCAUCAUCAAAAUUAAAUCCAUUGAAAUAAGUAUUCCGUAAAAAGUGCUGAAAAAAGGAAAAAGAAGAAAGAGGCAAGUGUCUUGAUGGAUGAGAGAAAAGUUCCAGCGAUUGGAAAUAUGAUUUGACAUGAAUGGCUCCACCAUACUACUUUCAAGUUUUAUACUUUCCUUUUCUCCGGGUGCUGUAACUUCAACUUGGUGGAGGGGAGCUGGACACGAAUAUGAAAACACCGUCUUCCAGAUCUCCACCGCAAAAGGAAGGUAAUAUACCUGGAAUCUUUUUUAAUUUGUCAUCGUUCAAUUUAAUGAGGCCAAUAAGAGAACCAAUUAUUGAACAAGUGGAGACAUCUUAUGUGCUACGCUUGUAUGUUGGAGGACACGUCACUAUCGACUACAUGCAGAUAGGUUAAUCGUGUGGCCUUCACAGCCUUGAAGAGACAAUAUGCAAAAGCAAAUUUAAUUGCAUCGCAAAACAUACUUUAAUUCGUAUGUAUUUUUUUAACCGAUAUAAGAAGAUGUGGCUGUGAGAAGAUUUUGUUGCGAUAGCAAUUACUAGGGUACAUGGAUGACCGUUGGGCGAGAUGUAAUAAAUUAAUUACAUAAGUGGUAAAUUAAAUUAUUUUCAAUUUAGUUUGAUUUUUAUUAAAAAUAAUAAUUAAAUGACAUUUAAAAAAAAAUUAAAACCAGUUCAAACCGAUUAAUUUUGGUUCUGUUUCUUAGGAUAAAAACCGAUUCAAACUAAUUUGGUUUAAUUUUCUUGAUUUUGGCUCGGUUUUAUCGGUUUUAGCUCAUUUUUUUCCUUAAUUUUUUUGGUUUGGGUUCAGUUCGGUUUUUUAAUUUUUUAUUUAUAAAACCAAAACUAAACAUGUUGAUUUUUUUAAAAAUUUUAAUCAAUUUUUUUUUACAGUUUGAUUUUUUAAAAUUUAAUUUAUUUAGGUUUUUUAAUUUAAUUGAUUUUUUUAGCUGUGUUUGAGUAUGUGUCAACGAGGGAGGGAGGGAGACAUGCACAUUUAUUGGGGGAGACAAGUGGGCCUCAGGAAUGGCUUGUCUCGGGACUUGGGUUUGGACAAUGUAUCGAUCGAAUCUCUUCGACGUUUGUACAGUUGUGCUGUUGUGAAGGGUACAUGUAGUUUUUGACCCUCUCCUAAUUUCUCAUCUGAGGAGGCAUCUGGAUCGGAGAAGGAAAAAGAAAAGAAAGAUAAAUUUAAAUUUCAAAAAAAUAUCAUAUGUAUUAUUAUUAUUAUUAUUAUUAUAAAAGAAAUAUCCUUAAUUAACAAAGAAGUUAAGGUACAAACGAUAUCCUUGAUUAACAAAAGAACAACCAACCAAGAAACUGGCUAUAUAUAGUGGCUAAAAUUUCUCAUUCAGUCUCCUCCACAAAAGCUUCGACUCGAAGAAGAACAAAUCCCACUGCAACUCCAACAAGAACAAGCCCAUUCAUGAUUGCUGCUAUCCUGAAUAUCUCACCAACAUCACUGCAGGUUGAAGAGAGUGCACCCCCACUCCUGCCUUUACCCUUUGAUGGAGCUCUCAAUGAGCUCACCACCUUUGCAAAGGACUGCUCGGUGCAUACUGGCUGGCCUAAUGAACUCACACUGUUGUGAGCUUUUAGCCCACCAAAAGAAUCCAGUCCUGUUAUGUACUUCACUUUGAUUUGCUUCCACUCAGGACUGCUAACUGUGGCAGUAGCACGCGUUGCUGGAGAAAGCGUUGCUGAGGCUGUUGCCAUUGACCCAAAACCUGCAAUAUGUAAGAUGAGAAACAGGAACACAAUCACACCUUGUACACACCAAAAACAGAACUUACAAGUACUACUAACUACUAUCUAAUUUAAUGAAAUAAGCGUCGUAUGCCUAACAGAGGAAUAUGCAUGUAGUGACCUUUUUUUUCGGUGGUGUUUGUCGGGUUAGAAAUAUUACAAAUAUGAUUGGAAAGGAAGGAAAUGGAAACAUAACUUUGUAUGGAAAAGAACGAGAGAGGAUGGAUAAGGAAACAAUGAGCACCUCUAAAUGCCAGCCAGGAAAACAAAAUUGAAUAACUUUACAGUCCAAGCACCAUGGUCUCCAAUUCAAUUCAAUAAAUCAAAAGAAUCCAGGCCCAGUCCCAUUUUAAAGUAGACCAAAAACGAGACCGACCAAGCCCAAAUAAGAUCCCUAAAAAGAGACUUUCUUCGGACUGAAACAUCAACCGUGUUCUGAUAAGCCCCUAAAUAUACUUCAAUAAGCACCCUCUACAAAAGCUCUCGGUGCAACCUUCUUUCCCAACCUCAUCAGCUCAAACACGCAAACAUUUCCUCCCACCAAAUUGUUGUCCGCCGUCCCAUUAUCAAAUUCAACCCUCCGCCUUUUCUCCAUUUUGUUUGACUCUUUUCCGUCACAAAUCUGAAGUCUGAAGCAUUCAGAAUCUUCUUGCGGACGGACACCUGUUAGCGGAUGUACUGCAUAAAUCAGCAAGAAUUGCAAUAAUUAGAACUUAACAAACACCUCAAAGAUUGCAUUUUUGUAAAGGCUCGCCAAAACAACACUGUGCAGGCUUAUUAUAAGAGCUGUAAGUACACAUUGAAAAUAAUAAAAUUAUCUACUACAUUUUCGUAAAGGCUCACCAGUAGAUCAUGCUUACUAUAUAAGUUCCUGCAAGAUAGUCAUGAAUGAAGGAUUUUUUGGGCUGGACAUCCAUGCUAUGCUGGCUUUACGCGCUGCAUUUGUAGUUCCUUAUGACGCCUUUGCUAAUGUGGCAAGAUUUUUUAAAACUAGUGAUGAUUUCCUCCGAUUCUUCCUGAUCUGCACAUUAUAGAUUCAUAAAUUAAGCACCAUCAUGGAUGUAUACACAAAGAGCUCACGAACUUAUUCUGAUGAAGUUCCUUUCUUUAAUGAGAGUUUUUUUUAAAAAAAAAAACAGGAUUUAUUAUGUGGUUAUCAAAAUUGAAAGCUUACAUUCAAAUUGGAGAAAAAUAUUCAUUGUUAUCAUAAGAUAGGUUUCGUAAGGUGCAAAGUCACUUAUGAUGUCGAAGAUUGGUGAUAAGAUGUUCUAGAAAAUAGAGUUCGUGAUGGUAUGCCGAUAAUCCCAUCAUAAUAAGCUAUGAAAACAUUGUUAAUUUUGAAUUAUAUAAAAUGAUAACAAAGAGAUUUUAUAAUGAGCAUAUUAUUAUUACUAUCUUUCUGUUCAUGAAGAUUUACUAUCGUCAAUAUUUAUUGCUCUGCUACUCCCUUUGAUUCAAUUAUGGCCACAAGGGACAGGGGAGCUAAGUCUAACUGAUGGUGACCAGAUGCUAACAAUUUUCUUGUCUGCUUUUGCCAAUUUCAGCUUUCUGCUAGUCCUUCUGUCCAAAUUUGUCUCCACUGAAAUUUUUAAGUUCGAAAAAAAACGCACCAAAUGAUAUAGUUGAUAAAAAUAGACAAUAGUAAAUUAAAAACCACGAAAUAAAAACUUGACUAUAAGAUCAGUUCAACAGUUAUUGCAAUACAUUGGCAAUAAAAAACACUUCCUGCUUUUAUUCUACCUUUGUUUUACAUAUUUUUAUAAAGGAUUGCACAAUGAUCUCCUUGUGCUUGCUGCUUAGAAUUCGUAAGCGAUGGAAGGUAACCUUGGCCUGAGGACAACCUCCAAUGGUGUUGCUUUGGGGGACUGUCAUUCCAGGGCUUUCAGUCAUAUCGACUGGAGUAUCGGAGACUGUCCUCAAUUCAAACCCCUGAAGAAGCCGAGCAAGUGUCAGGGUGCACAACCUGGACAGCGAAUGACACCGCAGGGCACAUUCUUCUUCCAGACCCGAAUGGUGUGAAUUCGAAGUCCUGCCCCCUUACAUCCAAAUUGGCAUGCUCUUUCAGGAACUUCUCAGGCUGAAAUUCCAAUGGGUUAGUCCAAAUGUUAGGGUCACGAUGCAACUUCCAGAGGUUAACCACAAGGCGCGUGCCUGCUGGGAUGUGGAAGAGCUAUCGUUAUUGUGUCACUGCCUCCCAAUAGAAGGCUCUGCCUCUCAUUCAGUCUCCUCCACAAAAGCUUCGACUCGAAGAAGAACAAAUCCGACUGCAACUCCAACAAGAACAAGCCCAUUCAUGAUUGCUGCUAUCCUGAAUAUCUCACCAACAUCACUGCAGGAUGAAGAGAGUGCACCCCCACUCCUGCCUUUACCCUUUGAUGGAGCUCUCAAUGAGCUGACCACCUUUGCAAAGGACUGCUCGGUGCAUACUGGUGUUGAAAGCUAAGCUGAUUACUUUUGAUAAAAAAUCGAUGAAGAAGACUGCAACAAGAAGGAUGAAGAAGUUGCAGAAAUUCUGUUAAAACAGUUAAGAAGGCAGUUAAAACCGUUAUUUUUGUUUUCUGUUUUUACUGUUACAAAACUGACUGUAAAUCAUUUCCACGUGAGAUGAUCUUGAUUCCUAAAAUAAAGGAAUCAGUUACAUAAAUUGUGUAUAAAAGCAAUGGUUACAGAAUUGAAAGUAAUAAGAAAAUAUACAGAACUUCUUCAUAAUCUUCUCUGCACAUUUAAAGCUUUAUUCUUUCUAUCCUCUUCUUCUUCUUCUCCAACGAAAUACAAGAAAAUCAACAUGGUAUCAGAGCACUCAAACUGAUUCCUGAGAGGGGUGUAGACUGUGAAAGAGAGAUUGAUUAAACUGUUAAUUACUCAAAAAUGGUAGGAUCAAGCUCAGCUGGAGGAGACUUAAGAACUCCACAGUUCAAUGGCACGAAUUAUGAUUUUUGGGCUGUAAAAAUGGAAAUUGUCCUCAUAGCACUCGAUCUAUGGGAAGUAGUUGAAGAUGGAAUAAAAUCUCAUCAAGCACCUGAGAUUGCAGUUGGAUCAGGCGAUGAAGAGAGUGAGGCUGAUCAAAUUAUACUGCAUGCAUCCACGACAUCCAGAGAAGAAAAAAUAUCAAGAAUGCAAAGGCUUUAAGCCUCAUACAAGGAGCAUUAACAGAUGAUCUUUUCCCACGUAUAAGAAAUGAGAAAACUGUAAAAGGAGCAUGGGACAUCUUGAGCAGAGAAUUCAGAGGAGAUAAAAAGGUUAGAGCAGUAAAACUUCAAGGAGUAAGAGCAGACUUUGAAUAUUUGAGAAUGUCAGAAAGUGAAAGCUUAGAUGGUUAUCUAGCUAAAUUCUUUGUAACUAUAAACAACCUAAAAUCAUUAGGUGAAGAUGUAUCAAAAAACAGAAUUGUGUAGAAAUUGUUAAUGAGUCUAAGCAGAAGAUAUAAGUCUAUUGUGUCAAUCAUUGAAGAGACACGUGAUCUUGAAGUUCUAAGAGAAGAAGAAGUCAUUGCUUCUGUUAAAGUAUAUGAUAAGAGGAAGGAUCUGCAUGAUGAAAGGGAUAAGCUAAGAGGAACAGAAAAAGCCUUUAGCAGUUUUAAAAUUGGAAACAAUCAAGGUUACAAUUCUCACAAGAAUUUUCAAGGCAGACCUACUCAAAAAUGGCAACCACAAGACAGGAAGGGAUCAAACUGGAAUCCAAACAGAACUCUGAAUAGCUACAGCAAUUCAAACUGGAAUAACACUGGUGGAGGGAGCAGUCAAGCAGGAGAAAAACCACAGUGUCAAGUCUGUCAAAAACAUCAUUUUGGAUUGUGCAGACACAAAGGAAAACCAAGAUGUGGAAGAUGCAAUCGUUUGGCCAUAUUACAAAAGAUUGUGAAAGUCAGAAUCACAAACAACUUGCAAAUUAUGCUAAAGAAGAAGGAGUCAUCACUGGAACCAUGUUCUAUGCUUGCCAUGCUGCAAGUUUGCAAGACAAAAAGAUAUGGUUUGUGGAUAGUGCCUGCUCACAUGACUUCUCAAGAAUCUGAACUAAUCAACAUUGAUAGAUCAGUAACAUGCAAAGUGAAGAUGGGCUCAGGAGACCUUGUGCAAGCUACUGGAAAAGGUACAUUGGUUGUGGAAACUCAGCAUGGGAAGAGAUACAUAAAAGAAGUAUUGCUUGUUCCCAGAUUGGAUGAAAACUUACUAAGUGUAGGCCAGAUGAUGGAGCAUGGCUAUUACAUUCUGUUUGGAGGUAACAAGGCAGUAAUAUUUGAUGAUGAAAGCCUCAACAAUGUUAUAGCAAUAGUAAUCAUGGGAGGAAAUCGAUGCUUUCCACUUUCACUUAAAAGUAUUACACCUGCAGCAAGGAAAGCUUUAGUGACUGAGGAUUCUUGGAUAUGGCAUAGGAGACUUGGACACUUGAACUUUGCCAACAUGAAAAAGAUGCAAUAGAAAGAGAUGGUGUGUGGACUUCCUGCUCUGACUGAAGUAGAAGAUGUUUGUGCAGGUUGUGCAUCAGGCAAACAUCAUAAGGAGAAAUUCAUCAAAGAGCAAGCAAUCCACUGGAAUUGAUCCACACUGAUCUGUGUGGACCAAUGCAGAAUGAUUCUGUGGGAGGGAACAGAUACUUCAUCACAUUCAUUGAUGAUUACUCAAGAAUAUGUUGGGUAUACUUUCUCAGAAAUAAAUCUGGUGCACUGAAUGUAUUCAAAAAAUUCAAAGCAUUCGUUGAACUGCAAAGUGGACACAAACUGAAGAAGCUAAGAAGUGACAGAGGAGGAGAAUAUACUUCCAAAGAAUUUGAAGAAUUAUGUGAGAAGCAAGGAAUGGAGAGGCAAUUGACAGUUGCAUACUCCCCUCAACAGAAUGGAGUUGCAGAAAGGAGAAACAGAACAAUUUGUGAGAUGGGGAGAUCUAUGCUGAUAGAGAAAGGAAUGUCAGUAACCUUCUGGGCAGAAGCUGUUAAUACAGCUGUGUAUAUACAGAAUAGAUGUUAUACAACAUUUGUUGCAGAAAAGACUCCUUUUGAAGCCUUCACGGGAAGGAAGCCAGGAGUCAAGCAUUUGAAGGUGUUUGGUUGCUUGUGUUACACACAUAUCCAUCAUCACUAAGGCAGAAAUGGGAUAGCAAAGCUGGAAAGGGAGUGUUUGUUGGAUAUGGCAGCUGUGAAAAGGGUAUAGGAUAUAUGAUCUGAAAACUGAGAAGAUUGUUCUCUCAAGAAGUGUGAUUUUCAGUGAAGAUAAAGCAUGGAAUUGGAAGGGAAAUCUGAUGAACCAAAUCCACUUGUCCUUCAAUCAUGAAGGAGGUAUAAUUGAAGGUGAGAAUCUUGAGAAACACACUUCUAAAAUUCAACCCGACAAUGUUGAACAUUGCAAUCAAAAUCCUAUAGUUGAAGAGUCAGUUGAGAAGAUUGACAGUGCUAACAGUCAACAAUCUUCACCAAGCUCUACUCCAGUGAAAUUGAAAAUCUUGGAAGACAUAUAUGCAAGGUGUCACAUGUGCAUCAUAGAACCUGAGAAUUAUCAAGAAGCUGCUGGGGAUAAAGCCUGGCAGGAGGCUAUGAAGGAAGAGUUGGAAGUGAUAGAGAAGAACAAUACUUGGGAAUUGGUGGAAAGACCAAGUGAUAAACCUGUGAUAAGAGUGAAAUGGGUGUACAAAACCAAGCUUCAUCUUGAUGGAUCAGUUCAGAAACACAAGGCUCGACUUGUAGCAAAGGGUUAUGCAUAGAAAUAUGGAAUUGAUUACAAUGAAACCUUUGCACCAGUAGCAAGGUUAGACACAAUUCGAACUCUCAUUGCACUUACAGCACAGAAGGGGUGGAAGUUGUUUCAAUUGGAUGUCAAGUCAGCAUUCCUAAAUGGUGUACUUGAAGAAGAAGUAUAUGUUGAACAGCCUGAAGGGUUUGAAGUAAAGAAUGCAGGACAUAAAGUUUACAAACUAAAGAAGGCUUUGUAUGGAUUAAAACAGGCACCGAGAGCCUGGUAUAGUGAGAUUGAUACAUAUCUCUCUAUGUGCAAUUUUAAAAGGAGUGGAAGUGAAGCUACUCUAUAUACAAGAUCAGACAUGGAAGGUAAUUUGAUCAUAGUUUCAAUCUAUGUUGAUGACAUUGUGUACACUGGCAGCAGUGAGAGGCUUCUCAAUGAAUUCAAAAGGGAAAUGAUGCAGAGAUAUGAGAUGUCUGAUCUUGGACUUCUUCACCAUUUUCUUGGCAUGGGGAUACUGCAAACCAAUCGAGGAGUGUUUAUUCAUCAAGGGAAAUAUGACAAAUCUCUGCUCAGUAAGUUUGGACUUGAUGAUUGCAAACCAGUUUCCAUUCCCCUGGCCACUGGAGAGAAACUGAAGAAGAAAGAUGGAAGUGAGUUGGCUGAUGAAGGUCUUUAUAGAAGAAUAGUAGGAAGUCUACUAUAUUUGACAGCUACAAGACCUGAUCUAAUGUAUGCUGCAAGUUUAUUAUCAAGGUUCAUGACUGGACCUACCAAGAUUCACAUGGGAGCUGCAAAAAGAGUUCUAAGAUAUGUGCAAGGAACUCUCAGUUAUGGGAUUGAAUAUGUAAGGGAUCAAUCAGCAACUCUCAUUGGAUUUUGUGAUGCAGAUUGGGCAGGAAGUGAAGAUGAUAGCAGGAGUACUUCGGGCUAUGCAUUUAGUUUUGGAAGUGGAGCAUUCUCCUGGUCUUCUGUAAAACAAAACACAGUAGCAUUGUCAACUGCUCAGGCCAUUUGGCUAUAGUUUGUUCUUGAUGAUUUUGGGGAAAUGCAAGCUGAAGCAACACCUUUAUUCUAUGAUAACAUGUCAGCAAUUUCGAUGGCCAAGAAUCCAGUUUUCCAUCAGAGAACAAGACACAUAAACAAGAAGUAUCACUUUUUAAGAGAGGCUCUGCAAGAAGGAGUAAUUGAUGUGAAGUUCUGCAGAAGUGAAGAACAACUUGCAGACAUCUUCACAAAGGCAUUACCCAAAGAUAGAUUCAAGAAACUAAAACUAGAUCUUGGAGUUAAAUCAGUAAACAGCUUAGGAGAGGCUGUUGAAAGCUAAGCUGAUUACUUUUGAUAAAAAAUCGAUGAAGAAGACUGCAGCAAGAAGGAUGAAGAAGUUGCAGAAAUUCUGUUAAAACAGUUAAGAAGGCAGUUAAAACCGUUAUUUCUGUUUUCUGUUUUUACUGUUACAAAACUGAUUGUAAAUCAUUUCCACGUGAGAUGAUCUUGAUUCCUAAAAUAAAGGAAUCAGUUACAUAAAUUGUGUAUAAAAGCAAUGGUUACAGAAUUGAAAGUAAUAAGAAAAUAUACAGAACUUCUUCAUAAUCUUCUCUGCACAUUUAAAGCUUUAUUCUUUCUAUUCUCUUCUUCUUCUCCAACGAAAUACAAGAAAAUCAACUGGCUGGCCUAAUGAACUCACAUUGUUGUGAGCUUUUAGCCCACCAAAAGAAUCCAGUCCUGUUAUGUACUUCACUUUGAUUUGCUUCCACUCAGGACUGCUAACUGUGGCAGCAGCAAGUGUUGCUGGAGAAAGCGUUGCUGAGGCUGUUGCCAGUGACCCAAAACAUGCAAUAUAUAAGAUGAGAAACAGGAACACAAUCACACCUUGUACACACCAAAAACAGAACUUACAAGUUACUACUAAUUACUAUCUAAUUUAAUGAAAUAAGCGUCCUAUGCUUAACAGAGGAAUAUGCAUGUAGUUACCUUUUUUUUCGGUGGAACGUGUUUGUCGGGUUAGAAAUAUUACAAAUAUGAUUAGAAAGGAAGGAAAUGGAAACUUAACUUUGUAUGGGAAAGAACGAGAGAGGAUGGAUAAGGAAACAAUGAGCACCUCUAAAUGCCAGCCAGGAAAAUAAAAUUGAAUAAUUUUACAGUCCAAGCACCAUGGUCUCCAAUUCAAUUCAAUAAAUCAAAAGAAUCCAGGCCCAGGCCAAUUUUAAAAUAGACCAAAAACGAGACACAUCGAGCCCAAAUUAUAAAUAGCUAAAAGAGAUUAGUGUUUUACUGUGCAGCCCACAAUAAAACAUUGAUCUCUGCUAUUUUAUGGAUUUUUUUUCUUGUUUUUUUAUGCCUUUUGAAAAAUUAUUUUUUGCUUCUUUUUUAUUUUUUUAUUUUUGUUUAAUUUAGUUUAUUAAUGUUUAAUUUUUUUUAUUUAGUUAUCAGACUUUCAUGACACGUUUUUCGGAUUUAACGGGUUAACCUGGUUUGAUAAGUUAACCUAGAAUAUUUCUUUUUUGCUUUUUAUUCUUUUUAAUUAAUUUUUUUUGUUUAGUUUAGUUGUUAAUGUUAAAUUUCUUUCUAUUUAGUUAUUAGAUUUUCAUGACAUAUAUCCCGAGUUUCACAGGUUAACCUGGUUUCACGGGAGAACCCAGUUAAUUAUGGGUUGACCCGUCAAUUUUUUUAUUUUCAUAAAUUUUUUUGUUUAAUUUAGUUUGUUAAUGUUAAAUUUUUUUUAUUUAGUUAUCAGACUUUCAUGACACAUAUCAUGGGUUUAACGGGUUAACAUGGUUUGACGAGUUAACCCGAAUUUAUUUUUUGAUUUUUUAUUUUUAAUUAAUUUUUUUUGUUUAGUUCAGUUUGUUAAUGUUCAUUUUUUUUUAGUUAUCAGACAUUCAUGACACGGAUCCGGGGUUUAACGGGUUAACUUGGUUUGACGAGUUAACCUGAAAUUUAUUUUUAUUUUUUUGCUUUUUUUUUCUUUUAAAUUAAUUUUUUUCGUUUAAUUUAAAUUGUUGAUGUUAAAUUUUUUUCUAUUUAGUUAUCAAACUUUCAUGACACGGAUUCCGGGUUUGAUGGGUUAACCUGGUUUAACGAGUUAGCCCAAUUAAUUCUGGGUUAACCCAUUAAUUUGUUUUUUCAUUUUUAAUUAUCAAACUUUCACGAUGCGAAUUCAAUGUAUGACGGGUUAACCUGGUUUGAAGAGUUAACCCAAUUAAUUCAUAUUUUUUUUUCUUUUUCUUCAUUAGUUUUUUUCUUCAUGUUGGUUUCUUUUUCUUUUUAACUAAUUUAUUUAAUUAUCACACUUUUAUGACACGACCUUGCAGUCAGACCCAUGUUCAAUGCUAUUGGGUCUGUAAUUACAGUCCAGACACUUUUAUACUAAGGGUUAACCCAAGUUUAAUGUUAUUAUUAAUAUUAUAAAUAUUACUCUUGGAUUAGGCGUUGCAACCAAACCUAAAACUCUUGGGUAUAACUUUGCAAAAAAAAACUAACACUUUUAGAUUUUAGCUUUUUUUGAAAUCCAAAAAUAAUUGACUCGCUGUAUCGCGCGGGACAUGUAACUAGUAAAAUUGCUAAAAAGAGACUUUCUUCGGACCGAAACAUCAACCGUAUUCUGAUAAGCCCCAAAUAUACUUCAAUAAGCACCCUCUGCAAAAGCUCUCGGUGCAACCUUCUUCCCCAGCCUCAUCAGCUCAAACACGCAAAUAUUUCCUCCCACCAAAUUGUUUUCCGCCGUCCCUUUAUCAAAUUCUACCCUCCGCCUUUUCUCCAUUUUGUUUGACGAAGCCACUCUUUUCCGUCACAAAUCUGAAGUCUGAAAGCAUUCAGAAUCUUCUUGCGGACACCUGUUAGCGGAUGUACUGCAUAAAUCAGCAAGAAUUGCAAUAAUUAGAACUUAACAAACACCUCCAAGAUUGCAUUUUUGUAAAGGCUCGCCAAAACAACACCGUGAAUGCUUAUUAUAAGAGCUGUAAGUACACAUUGAAAAUAAUAAAAUUAUCUACUACAUUUUCGUAAAGGCUCACCAGUAGAUCAUGCUUACUAUAUAAGUUCCUGCAAGAUAGUCAUGAAUGAAGGAUUUUUUGGGCUGGACAUCCAUGCUAUGCUGGCUUUACGCGCUGCAUUCGUAGUUCCUUGUGACGCCUUUGCUAAUGUGGGAAGAUUUUUUAAACUAGUGAUGAUUUCCGAUUCUUCCUGAUCUGCACAUUAUAGAUUCAUAAAUUAAGCACCAUCAUGGAUGUAUACACAAAGAACUCACGAACUUAUUCUGAUGAAGUUCCUUUCUUUAAUGAGAGUUUUUUGAAAAAAAAAGAUUUAUUAUGUGGUUAUCAAAAUUGAAAGCUUACAUUCAAAUUGAAGAAAAAUCAUUGUUAUCAUAAGAUAGGUUUCGUAAGGUGCAAAGUUACUUAUGAUGUUGAAGAUUGGUGAUAAGAUGUUCUAGAAAAUAGAGUUCGUGAUGGUAUGCCUAUAAUCCCAUCAUAAUAAACUAUGAAAACAUUGUUAAUUUUGAAUUAUAUAAAAUGAUAACAAAGAGAUUUUAUAAUGAGCAUAUUAUUAUUAUAACUAUCUUUCUGUUCAUGAAGAUUCACUAUCGUCAAUAUUUAUUGCUCUGCUACUCCCUUUGAUUCAAUUAUGGCCACAAGGGACAAGGGAGCUAUGUCUAACUGAUGGUGACCAGAUGCAAACAAUUUUCUUGUCUGCUUUUGCCAAUUUCAGCUUUCUGCUAGUCCUUCUGUCCAAAUUUGUUUCCACUGAAAUUUUUAAGUUUUGCCCCAGUUGCUUGAGUAGGUUUCAGCUGCAACAGAAAAGUAUAAAACUUUUAAUUGCAGAAAUUUGCUAGAUACUUACCAAGCAACUAGCCUUAACGGUUGUGUCAGCUUCAUCAACAGAAAUGUUACUAUCAUCCAUGAUAGAAAGCAUGACAUGGAUGAAAUCUUUCUCCUCCUCGCUGAUGCUUCUGUUGAGCCCGAUUCGUCGAUGCUCAUCCACCCAGCUCCCAAGCACGCAAUCUAACUCCCUUGCCGUUCUUUUCAUUUUUCCUGUAUAUCCCUUCACCAA
RNAcentral lists this long non-coding RNA (18456 nucleotides) under Populus tremula. RNAcentral's name for it is "long non-coding RNA (PTRE_LNC002889)". The record is from RNAcentral. Lineage: Eukaryota; Viridiplantae; Streptophyta; Magnoliopsida; Malpighiales; Salicaceae.